UACGAGGGGGGCAAGCGUUUGUUCGGAAUUAUUGGGCGUAAAGGGUGCGUAGGCGGUCUGAUAAGUCAUCUGUGAAAUCUAUGGGCUCAACCCAUAGUCUGCAGGCGAAACUGUCGGGCUUGAGUAUGGGAGAGGUGAGUGGAAUUUCCGGUGUAGCGGUGAAAUGCGUAGAUAUCGGAAGGAACACCUGUGGCGAAAGCGGCUCACUGGACCAUUACUGACGCUGAUGCACGAAAGCUAGGGGAGCAAACAGG
RNAcentral lists this ribosomal RNA (254 nucleotides) under uncultured bacterium. RNAcentral describes it as "partial 16S ribosomal RNA". It matches the Rfam family "Bacterial small subunit ribosomal RNA", at positions 524 to 776 of the family's 1533-position model. The record is from RNAcentral.